GCUGAUUUCAUUUCUAUCCCCAGGAGUUUGACUAACCUAUGGCUUUUGGAGCACAUAUCGCUCCGAAACAGCUGAACUGUGGCUCUCAGACCACUUCUGGUGGCACAGCUAUUUAUGUGGAGGUUACCGGCCACUUGAAUUCCUGUCCAUGGAAGACAGCAAGCAGAGAGGCCACAGGUGGCAGUGGGGCCACUGCUGGAGCCUGGAAGCCAGCUGACAGCACACCCGUCAGCUCCUGUUCAGAUGUGGGAGCCCUGGGGAGAGACAGACACCACGAGCCUAUGAAUUUUCCAAGAGCUCACUCAUCCUUCAGGUGGACCAGGGCACUUGUUACUACCACUUCUACAUCAGCUUUGAGUUAAAACUUGAGAGCGUAAGCACCAUACCAUUUAAGCUCCUUUAUUAAGUGAUGAGAGAUGCUACAGUAACCUCCUGGUAUCUGUCCAGAACAAAGCUGCUAGAAGGGUCACGCUCGCCCCUUAAUGAGAGACAGAGGAUAUGGCUGUUGGGGAGACAACAUGCUUGUGUCAGAGGCAGCUCAGAAAAGCCAGAGGUGGAGCGCACACCUCUACUUUUCUGGAGUGUAGACUUGAGAAAGGCCAGAACGCAAGAGAACUCAUGAGACAG
This 627-nucleotide long non-coding RNA is filed under the name Struthio camelus australis. RNAcentral describes it as "lncRNA (ENSSCUG00000018160.1)". Lineage: Eukaryota; Metazoa; Chordata; Aves; Struthioniformes; Struthionidae. The record is from RNAcentral.